This is an RNA transcript of Sorex fumeus (smoky shrew), 3524 nucleotides long. It is a transcript of the gene named calcium responsive transcription factor, with no coding region annotated. The transcript is spliced from 14 exons. The record is from RefSeq and is a predicted model, not a curated record. Lineage: Eukaryota; Metazoa; Chordata; Mammalia; Eulipotyphla; Soricidae.
UGUAUGGACUCCGGAGAUCUUUCCUUUGAACAAAACAGUUCUUCUGAAGUUUUGUUACCCACAAUUACUCAUGAAGCACAUAAUUCACUGACAUCACAGACUCUGACUCAGACACAAACUCUUUCUGCAGAGCAAUUUGAUCUGGUUGACCAAAAUGGGCAACCUAUUCAAAAUGAACUUCCGCCAUUGGAGGAUUCUAACACAUCAUCGAUGAUUGUUGCCAGCCCAUCAGAAAAUGAUGGGCAAGUACUUCAUGUAAUUCCAUCUACCCAGACAGAAGUGGCACAAGUAAUCAUACCUCAGGGGCAACUUUUGGAUGUGAAUAUUUCUCAGGAUGUCUCUAAAGAGAAAUCCAGUGAUGAAGUUGUACCAAAUGUAGGAGGGGGUACUCUAGGAGACAGUACCAGUACUUACAUUCUUCAUCCACAAGAAUCCCUCACACCGCCCAAAGAGACAACAACAGAAAUGGUUGAAGAACCCUCUCUGGCUCCUCUCCAGACACUCACAUCCAACACACCCAUUUGGGCCUGUCGUCUUAGGAGCUGCCAGAGAAUUGGAGAUUCAUACCGUGGCUACUGUGUUAGUGAAAGUGAACUAGAAAGUGUUCUAACUUUUCACAAGCAGCAAACAAAGAGUGUUUGGGGGACCCGCCAAUCUCCAAGCCCAGCCAAGCCAGCUACACGCUUGAUGUGGAAAUCACAGUAUGUUCCAUAUGAUGGAAUUCCAUUUGUCAAUUCAGGGAGUAGAGCUGUGGUAAUGGAAUGUCAGUAUGGGCCAAGGAGAAAAGGUUUCCAGUUAAAAAAAAUCUGUGAACAGGAAAACAGGACUUGUGAACUCUACAAAGCUACUUGUCCAGCUCGGAUUUACAUAAAAAAGGUACAGAAAUUUCCUGAAUAUAGCGUUCCAACAGACCCCAAAAUUGACAAGAAAAUAAUCCGAAUGGAGCAGGAGAAAGCCUUUAAUAUGCUAAAGAAGAACCUGGUUGAUGCUGGUGGUGUUCUUAGGUGGUAUGUACAGCUCCCCACACAGCAAGCUCAUCAAUAUCAUGAAUUAGAGAUUCCCUACCGCCGUUUGUCAUCUACCACUCUUCCUGUGCCAUCUCUUGAAGAAGAGAAUGCUGCAGUUAGAGAUGAGAAUUGUGCAUUGGCCUCACGUCUGCAUCCUAAAGUAGCUUGUAAGAUUCAAGAAUUAGUAUCACAGGGAAUAGAACAAGUGUAUGCAGUAAGGAAACAGCUAAGAAAUUUUGUGGAAAGGGAACUGUUCAAACCUGAUGAGGUCCCUGAAAGACAUAAUCUAUCCUUUUUUCCAACUGUAAAUGAUCUAAGAAAUCACAUCCAUGAGGUACAGAAAUCCUUGAGAAAUGGAGAUAACAUGUAUAAUUCAGAGAUUAUUCCCACCACGCUGGAGUGGACUACAGAUAAUAGAAAUAUUAUUGGAGAAACUGUGACAGUUGCGUUUGCAGAAGGAAAUUCAACAGGAGACUCAGUUACUACUAAUGUAGAAACAAAUCAAACAACUUCUGUAUCUCUGGAGCCAGCCCACUUGCUUUCCUCAUUUUCCUCAUUUCCACCCAAAGUAUUUACCCAGCUUCAGGGUUUGCAGUUUACCUCUUCUGAUGGAUCACCAACUCUCAUAUCAGAAAAUAACCACUCCUCCUCAAGUCCUUCCAGACUCCUGAACUCAAUAGAAAGUACUGUAAUGAACAAUAAUUCUCUCCUACUUGAUCAAGGUCAUAACCUUCAAACAGAUACUUGCCUCACUGAAAACAAUAGUAUUGCUUCUGCCAUUGGUAACCUUCCAGAACCAGUUCAAAAUCUGGUUCCGGUGGAUCAGUUGAUAGAAGAUGGAGAUGUGCAAGAUACAGACAAUCUGGAAGGAAGUGUUCAUCAGAUUCUGUUGGGAGAUGUGGACACCAUUCCAAUGCAUAUUAUAGAUACCCACCCAGCUCUUAUUUUACAUGGAGAACCUGUGGUGAUAUAACGAGGAAGAUCUUUUUAGAAUACAUUAAAACAAGAGAAAUUGGGCCGGAGAGAUAGUACAGUGGUUGAAGAAAAUCCAGAAGAUACCAUUCCUAUGGACCAAGAUAAGCAAGAAUCCAAAGAACCAGCAUUGUCUAUGGAAUAAAAAAGAAAUUGGGACUGUAAGAAUUUAAUUUAUUGAAGCUUUUCAUAACAUAACUGAUAACAUCUGAUGUCAGAAAAGAUGGUGAAUAUUGUCAAAGUGCAGCAUUAUAAGUGAACAGAAGACUAAGUCAAUGAAAAGCUUUGAUGUGAAACUGAUGUAUUUGAUGCCAAUUUCAUAUUUUUUACUUAAGAUACCUUAUUUUAUAUUAAUACUACGCGUUUUGAUGAUCUGAUAAGGCAGUAUAUCAAGACUAUCUGAACUUACCCAUGUCUGAAAACAAAUAUGUUACACUCUGAAAAAUACCCAAAUUUAAUUCUUAGAAAGCAAAAAUAACAAAAACAAUGUGUGAAUGUAUAUUUGUAUGUUGUAACUUUUUCAGGUUUUAAAAGAACUUCCUCUUAAAAAUUGUGAAGAAUGUUUUUUAAUUGGCAGACAGAUGAGAGUCUGUCCUAUGUGGAAAGAUAAAACAAUUGAUUUUAUAUUCAUGUUACCCAGAAGUCACAUUUUUGUAAUCUGUGUAGCUGUAUUUUAGCUUUUUGCAUUCUACUUUUUGUCUUAAUAUCUUCAGACUUAAUACAAAAGUCACCUAGUAGAACUUUAAAGUGUCUUAAUAAUUCUGGGAAUUUCAACCUGAAUUAAUCAUACAUAAAACAGAAACAAAUGUAUAUUGUACAAAUUUAAACAGUAUUGUAAUGAAACAGUACUUAUACAGAUGUAGAAAUGGUGAGAAUUAAAAAAAGAAUAAUAGAGUUCCCCAAUACUUACAAAUAAUUCAGAAACUUUUUGAAAUCAGUGGAGAAUUUCCCCCUCUAUUUUGUAUUGAAAAUUUAGCUCUUAUUUGAAGAAUAUUUGAAUUAUAUUUUUCUGUGUCAGAGUUAUUGAAUUGAUAACAUUAGAAUGUAUAGUAUUUCAAGGUAAGUAUAGUUUAAAAUUUAGUUUCUAUUUAAAACAUAAAAAAAAUUUGAGUAUUAACUUUAAACACAAAAUAAAACUAAUCAUUACAAGUUUGCUUUGUGAAGAAAUUAACCUAAAGGUUUUCCUCAGAGGCCACUGUUGAUAUAUUUUAAAGUUAAUUUAAAAAUAAUAAAGACUGGAGAGAUAGUACAGGGUUUAGGCUCCUAACUUGUAUUCUAACAUAUAUAGUGCUCAGUCUGAUCUGUGACACAAUGUAUGACUCUUGAAUCACUACCAGGAAUGAUCCCUGAGCACACAGGGUCAGGAGUAAUCCCUAAGCACUGCCAGUUGUAACCCCCUCAAAACCAAAAAUAAAUAAAAAUUAAAAUAUUAAGGAUUGUGACUGGAGAGAUAGUUCAAAGUUAAGGUGCUUGCCCUACACAUUGUCAACUCUGAAUCAAUCCACAGCACUGCUAAUUAUUUCCUUAGCACCACAAAAAGUGAUC